UGGCUGGACUGCAUUUUUCUUUCCCUCCUUAGUCACCGAAGAUUGGAAACAAUAUUCUUUUGACGAUCAGUGCAUUCUCAGUAAUGCAAUGUGCCUGCAUGCAAGUGUGAAUCUUGCAGUGGAGAAGGAAGACAAACUUUGCUACCUGUGAAAUGAAGACUUCUUAGGUAGCAGUGGAAAUGAAAACAAUUCUAUUUAUGAUAUUGUUCACAGACUCCACAAAUGAGUAAAUUGGUGACUUCAGUGGGAAUUGCUCAUAAACAAGAAAGAAAGGGUCAUCUGGAUUCUUCUGAAGGUAAGAGUCAGGGCCAGAAGUCUCCGUGAAAGACCUACCCAAGACACAAGAAGAGGAUCUCACCUACUGCCUCUUCUCCAGAGACUCCAUCCUGGACUGAGGUUCAG
This is a long non-coding RNA of Harpia harpyja (harpy eagle), 402 nucleotides long. RefSeq lists it as uncharacterized. Lineage: Eukaryota; Metazoa; Chordata; Aves; Accipitriformes; Accipitridae. The transcript is spliced from 3 exons. The record is from RefSeq and is a predicted model, not a curated record.